UAGGGCACAGGAUGGGAUGAGG
Molecule: microRNA, 22 nt
Filed under: Sus scrofa (pig)
Lineage: Eukaryota; Metazoa; Chordata; Mammalia; Artiodactyla; Suidae
Description: ssc-miR-7139-3p
Source: miRBase by way of RNAcentral